RNAcentral lists this long non-coding RNA (9922 nucleotides) under Triticum aestivum (bread wheat). RNAcentral describes it as "long non-coding RNA (TAES_LNC006997)". Lineage: Eukaryota; Viridiplantae; Streptophyta; Magnoliopsida; Poales; Poaceae. The record is from RNAcentral.
GUAUCGAUCCCAGAUGGAGCAUCCACCAGAGAUUGAAGGAUCGAGCAUCUAUAGGGUGCCGUUUUGUGGCACCCUGGCUCAAAGAAAACCGGAAUGCCCCGUAUUCUAGCCCAGAGAUCGAGGAGAAGUCUUCUGGAAUACGGCACUGCUUAGCAUAGAACAAACCAGCCUUCUAUUAGUACAUGAAUAUGAAUACAAGGUCUCCGAUAUUACAAUGAAUAACAUCGGUACGGCGACACUACGCCAUCGUCAGUCGCUCUAUGCAAGGAGCAGAAUAACUCGAAGCAGCGGAAUAACUCUAGCAGCGGAACAACGGCGACGGUGGUGAACUCCACUCCGCAGGGACUCUGGCUGGAACGCUGAUCCUAGCUCGCACGAACGGAAACCACGACAAGCAAGCAAUCAAAUCCGGCAUGACCUGCAAACUGGCAUGACACGCCAGGUCAGUACAUUGAAUGUACUUGCAAGCUCACAAUAAACCAGAAGCAUUCAAGACAAACAACAGCAUGGCAAUUACAGGUUAAACAGUAAUUAACAUGAUAUCAUCAGAAUAACAUCGCAUGACCAUCAUAAACAUGAUACAUCUAUCACAACAUGAUACAUCUAUCACAACAUGAACAUAUUAAUCCGACAAUACUAGCAUGCAACAUGAAACCACUGUAUGCACCACUUAUCCUGCUCGGGCUACCUCGUAAUCAACUCAUGCAUCACUUACCAACCUCGGACAUUACACGAUCAUCUCAGGAUCAAAUCAAGCUUGGUAUAAACAAUACCAUAGCGAUUAGUAAAUGAACACAAGGAGCUUGAUCUUUACCCACGACUCUCGUACAACAUAAUGAAUAUACAACAACUCGGUAUCCUCGAUACCACUGUGAUCCUUACGGCGAUCACCACCCGACCAACACUUGGCCCGUGAUCCUUACGGCGAUCACAACCCGACCACUACAUGGCCCAUGACCCUUACGGCGUUCACAACCCAACCAACACUUGGCCAACUUAUCUCAUUGUUAUUAAGCACAUUAUUAUUAUUUCUUUUGACUCAUGGUGUGACCUUCUCUCGACCUGGGCCCUUAUCCGUGGGCGCGGCUAUCGAUAGAUUAAUAUACACUCCGCAGAGGUUAGUACACUGUACCCUCACUACGGAACCCAUGGCCUCGGCCUCCCAUUCGGGUGGACCAACGGCGUUCCAAAAAAACCGAUCUAUUGUCAUGACACUCUCCCGGCCCUUCCGACUCAGACCCCACCGGGCUAGUCCUGGGUGGCCCCGUGUCUACCUCCAGACACCUCGACCACCGUUGUGGCCACGAUCCACACUGGGAUCCGAUACCAAAAUUAACUUAACAACGGGCUCACAAGGUUACGCUCCGCCUACCCGAUCAGGGUAGCACGCGCCCAAAACCUUCCCUAAAUUGAGGUAUCGACCAGAGGCACGACAAUAGACCCAGUUAGGACAGUCCCAUACCGGUGAGCGUGGUUGCACCGGUCAGCAUCGAUUUAGCGGCACCAUGACUCAGCCAACAGGUGUUCAAGUUCAAUUUAAUCCGGUUAACUUGAAUGCAAAUAUGCUGAGCCAUGAUAAAAUACAUGAACAUGAUAACAACAUCACCAUGAGAGUAUCACAUAACUUUCCACCAUAUCAACAAUAAAUCAUAUCCAGUGAGCAUCGCAUAUUGACUAGCAUGACCAUCCCCAACAUCAACAUGUACUACUAACCAACAUACUCAUACGAAAGGUAAUACUAGUAGGUAUAACAUGAUCACAGAGUAUAAGACAACAUAGCACAACAGUGAACAUGCAAAUCUGAACAUCACCAGAACAACGAUAACCAUCUUUUCAAUGAGCAAACAUUUAAUAAAUAUUCAAGUUGAAAACCAUGGCUAAUGCAUGACUAUCAUGCAAGUGGGUAUUGUGGCUUGCCUGGGGAUGAAGAAGACACCGGGGAGAAGUGCGGUGAAGCCGCGGAAAGAUUUGCCGGAAACGUUCUCUCUCGGAGGGGGCUGAUUAAGGGCAGGGAAAAAAUGGUCAUUUUCACAGUGUCAAACCAUAAGCAUGACCAACCGAACGGGCUCGAUGAAACGAAGAAGUGGGCGUUGGUUUCACCUCAUUUGGAGCUACGGAUAAAAAGAUAUAAGGGUUUGAAGUUCAGUGACUUUUCUGCAAAAAUAACAUCACAACCAUGUCCCUGAGUGGAUAAGACAGAAGCGGGUUUUCAGGAAUACGUUUUCGAUCAGUGAAAACGCCCUCACCAAAAGACGCUUCCACUUGCCAUGUCAACGUCGUCAAGUCAACGGCGGGGCCGGCUCCUGGGACGUUGACAGGCGGUUCCCGCGCGCAGGGGGGGUCCAGGCGCGCUCGUCUUCUUCCUCCUCUCCCUGCCCCCGACCGAAGCAGAGGCAGGGGCGCUGCCGGCGCAGGCCCCGGCGACUCCGGCCACCUCCGGCCAAACGGAGGCCACUAGCGAGCUCGGCGUGGACUGCCGCAUCCAUCCCCGCACAGAGGAGACGCCGGAGAGGAGCGGGGUAGCCACGACGAGGAAGGGACAGAACCGGCUCCGGCGUCCGCGAUCUUCGGGGACGACGGCCACAGCGGCUCCGGCGAUGGGCUGAGAUGGCAGGGAGGGUCUACGAGGACUGGGUGGAGCUCUGGUGGUGGUAGAAUGGAGAGGGGGGCUCGGCUUCGGCCGAAUUUAGACCGGAGGGGGCGGCGGCCAUGGCAGCAAUGGCGAGCAGGGAGGGCUCCAAAGGCUCGGGGAAAGGGCUCCGCGGCUCCUGGGGGAAUGGUGAGGUCGAUGCGGCGCUCGGGAGGCCGUGGGGAGGGCCAUUUAUAGGCGGGGCGAGGAGGGGAGGCCGUGGCACGUCCGCAGCUACGUGUCCGUGCUCCGGCGACGGGCACGCGCGGCCAAGGGUCACGGAGAGGAGUGGCAAGGAGACGAGGGAGGUGCGGACGAGCGGCAGAGCAUCACGGGGUCCAGGGGAGCAGAGGAAGAAACGGCCGAAAGCCAUUAAUGCAUGUCGGGGCACUGCUCACCCGUGGGCGCUCGUCGGCGAGCGUCGGUGAUCUAUCUUCCGGAUGGGGAGAGGGGUCCAUCAGCGCAGCAACGACGAGAGCUACCUACUGGACAUGCUCACGGGCACGAAGACAGCGAGAGGGGGAGGGGCCCGAGCACAAACGGCCACUGGACGCGCUCAUGGCAUGCCAAAACGGUGGUCACCACCAGUUCUGGCAUGUCCGUGAGGCAAACAGAUGGAAACUAAUGUCUAGGGCUUAGUCCUUCGAAUGUAGGUUUGUAUUGAGGUGGUAACUAGGUUAAAGAAACUCUGGUUAAAAAGUUAGUGAGAUCUGAAGUUUACUACAGUAAACUUUACCAGCUCAAUGUGGUCAACUGGGAAUUAGUGGAGGCCGAACAAGAUGUCUGGGGUGUUUAGGAUGGGAAGGACUACAGUCCUGGAGGUUGUUUUGGGUAAAAGGAUCAAGAUUUACUGCGGUUGCUUCACAACUGCACACUUGGUCCAGAAAUGAAGAUCAGGAUUUUGCAGUCGCAUGGAGUGUCCAAUUGAGCUAAAAUUGGGCAAGGCUUAGAAAUUUGGUCAUAUGAUGAUGCUUUAAAAAGAUCAUUACGAAUGGACAAACCAAAAUAGCACUUGCUUCACAAACAUCUCCUCUGGACAGAAACUUGAAAUAAUUAUGGUGAUCAAAUGGCUCAAUGAAAUGAUGCCAAAAUUGGUGGAGAGAUGUUAUAUGGGUAUAAGAAUGAUCUGAAAAUUUAUCAGUAUUUUUAAAGCAAUAUAAAAUAUACUUGCUUCACAACCUGAAAAUAUUGCCAGAAUCAAAUAUUUGCUCCUGUGCUCACAUAGAUAAUUGUAUGGGUCUACCAAUGGGUGUAAGGGGUUAAUAUGAGCACAUUAAGGAGUGUGCAAAAGUUCAACUCAUUUGGGUACUCCUAGCUAGUACUUCCUUCACAAAGCCUUCUGUCAGACAGAAACUUUGAAACUUCACUGAGGAAGAUUGGCUAGGCAAAUAAAUUUGAACUUGUGCAUGGGGCAAUUAUUUGGACAUAUAAACAUGCCCAAAAAGGUUGGCAGUCAAUAGGAGAAAUAUAAAUGACACUUCCUUCACAAAGUGCCAUUCAGGGCAGAAUAGGAAAUGAAUUACUAGGCAAUUAUUUUUGAACAUGGAAAUGAAAAGUUUUGCCAUAUUUGGUCAGGAUAUGACCCAAAAAAUUUAUGAGAAUUAUUUGGGAAUUUUAGGAGUGAGGGAAAUAUAGGUUGCUUCACAACCUAGGGCAAUUGGAGUUAUUCCUUUAAUAGAAAAGGAUUAUUCCCAAUAAAAAUAAUAUUGGGAUUUGGACUAGGAUGGAAAUGGAAAGAUCUAGGGAAGGAUUUUGGAAUUACAAGCCACUCUAGAAACAAAGAAGAGGGCAUCUUCUUCAGUUUCCAGACCACAAAGCCACGGAAAAAGACAACUCAGGCAAAAACCUCGGAAAAACAAAAGAAAAAGAAAGGGCCAAAAAUCAGGCUGUGACAAACCUUACCCCCUUAAAUAAAUCUCGUCCUCGAGAUUUGGUUGCUCAGGGAACAAUAUGAAUAUUCUGACUUAUGGAAACCGUUUCCAACUCGGGUAUCCUUUUUUCCUUUAUUGUUGUUCCAUUAAAUUUUUAUCUGACAGGCCUUGGGGUGGUUUGCUUCAUUGUAUCCACAUUCUGACAGAUCUUACCUGGCUUGCUCAUGCCUAUAUAGGCUCCAAUUUAUUUUUAGACCUGCUGACUAGUUGACUGUGAUUUAAUUAUCACGACUGAAAUAUAUGUCCGUCUCACAAAUCCAAAAGUGAUUUCCGCUGGGUGUGCCAUCCGGCACUGACAACCUUUCAUGUAAUGAUGAUCAGAAUUUUCUGAUGAAAGCUCAAGCUCUAACUCAUCACAUUGGGUUUCUCCACUAAAUGCAGGUCCUUUGGUUUCCAAACAGUGAGUUAAAACAUAACCGUUUCCUGACGGAUUCUGACUCAUCGCAGAAGUUUCUGAAUCAUCUUAACUGGUUCCAUUGUCGUGAGUAUCGGAUCCGUACCAAAUAUUUGAUUAUCUCCUGACGCAGCCAGCAUAAAGAGUUUGCCUGUAUGAUAAUAUCUGCCGACUUGACUGACGGUGGUUCUGACGGAAAAAAUUUGUUCACGACAGGCUAUCCACGAUGGUUCAUAUAAGUGAGGACUCAGGCUUCUAGACUGUUAUUCCUCAUGCCAAUUACUCAUGCUGCAUCACUCGUCUGGCUCCUUCAUUAUUGUUUUCUUGGUCUGGAUCCUUGGAUGAAAGAGCUGGGUCAUAUUGCCGCUUCGUAUGACCAUACGUACUAUCGGUGCAAUUUUUCGGCAAUCGUAGCUUAUCCUUGUUUUUCUGAUAAGGUCACCCAUUAAAUGGCAGGUUCAACACCUCUCAAGUUCUGAUCGUUCGGAAAUGACCAUCUGAAACCCUUGCAAGAAAUCGGCAAAUAAAUCAGUAGCUACCAGAACGGUCGUUACAACUCAGAUCUGGGACAUUACUGAAAUAACUCAACCACGACUUAGGACGGCCGAAAAGCAGCUCAGAGCAUGAGACCGGGUCGAUAAGAAGAAGGUAGCAGCUCCCUAAAAUAGCCAAAAAAUAGUUAUAGGGCUACUAUCACAAAAAGAAACUCAACAGUUGUACGAGACGGCCGAAAAGCAGCUCAGCCUCGUGACAGUCGUUGAAGAGAGAAACAAAAAUUGGCAUCCACCCCGGAUAGCUAGAAACAGCUCAGAUCACAGGCAUGGUGCCAUCAUUGGAGAAAAGGGGAUAGGGGCUCAUCAGGAUCAUUUUCCAGCUUCAUGGGUACUUGCAUGGAGCUCAUUGAUGUCGUCAAUCCUCAUAAUCCUUUGUCACACUGCGGUGUAUACUGGCUUUCUUCUAUUAACCAUCCUUACUCGGUUAUCAGACCCUCAUCCGAGUGACUUGUAAGAUCUUGNNNNNNNNNNNNNNNNNNNNNNNNNNNNNNNNNNNNNNNNNNNNNNNNNNNNNNNNNNNNNNNNNNNNNNNNNNNNNNNNNNNNNNNNNNNNNNNNNNNNNNNNNNNNNNNNNNNNNNNNNNNNNNNNNNNNNNNNNNNNNNNNNNNNNNNNNNNNNNNNNNNNAUCUGAUUCCCGAGACAGAUGUGUAUUCUCACUGAUUCUUGCUUCUGACCAAAAUGUUGCGGAUCUGAUUCUUGGGAUUCAUAUGCUGUAAAUUCACAGCAUACUACCUUGUACCAAUGUCUUACUGAGGAAAAUUCGCUGGCUUGUGCUCGAAACUUACAUCGAACAGCUUGCUAAAGAAGACUGGGUAUCGUGCUUCAGAAGCUUACCCCCUUAAAGACUUUGCUGGGGAAAGACUUGGUACCUUAUGCCGGAAGCUUUUGCGGUUGCUUACUGAAGAAGACAGAGUACCUUGCAUGGGGAAUUAUCCACGUAUCAUACUGAGGAAGAUAGAUGAAUCUUGGCUUGGAAACUUCUCUGGUAUCUUGCGAGGGAAGAUUGGGUUGCUUACACCAGAAGCUUCUUAUUGUGAUAUGCGGACCGAUCUCCACAUAUAUAACCAUCUGAAUAUUUCUAAUGUUGGUUUCUUGUAUGAAACAAGAUUUUGCAGGACUAUUCUCCUUUCCGAGUAUAUGCCAUAUUUUUGUUUGCUUCCAGGUACAUCGAGUUCCAAAAUCAUCCUCAAUGAAAAAUUAAACUUGUAUGUGAGCCAUACCUUUGAUAAUAUUCUGUCAACCUUGCACACAAUUUAUCUUCUUGCUGAUUUAAUCAUUUUGUUGUGAUGAGUGCACGCUAAUGCAAACUUGAUACUGACGGUCCAUCCAGGAUUUUCUUUUGCAUCCAGACAAGAUAUUCCCAAUUUCACUGCAGUCAGCUGAUAAUUCCAUUCUGUUUAGCUGAGUUUCCAAAUAUAUGCAUUUCUUGCUGACUCUUCGGGUCCAGUGUCAGUUGACAAGCAACUUUAAUAGGGGAAAAUUUGUAACACUAAAGGCCCAAAUAAAGGAACAACAGAAAUGACUAAACCAAAAGCACACAAGCAUACUACUAUUGUAAUCAAUCAAGCAAUCAUCACAUAUUACUGCUACUCACACAAUAAUAUGCAUGCACACCUAAGCACACAAAUCUCACAGAAACUCCGGUACUGCGAUCUAAUAUGUUGUGACGAUGUGCACGAGGAUGAAUAAAUGUGUGGAAGAAUUGGUGUAAACAGCGCUACACCAAGUGCUAGUUUAGCCAGGUGACAACCUGAACUAGCUCGGAGGCGAGGACGUACUCGGUAAUCAUGCAGUAGGACACGAAGGUCGCAACCACAUUAUUAUCAAGCGGACGGAAAAAGAUCCGUGCUCGUCCAAGAAAUAGGAUAGCGGGGAAAAACUGAGGCUGCUGACAUUGCCCUUUCUUGAUAACUAAGAUCAUUAAGGGUUGCCAACACGACAAGAUAAAAGAACGAUCCGGGAUAGGAGCAUGUCCAUCACCGAAAUGAUAUACGGGACUAAAAGAAAGAAAUCGGUGUGAUACCUGAGCACCAUUUUCGCAAACAGUGCCGGGAUCACUUGGCAUCACUCUACUGGGACAGAAAUGACACAAAACACCAAAGGAAAAAAGGGGACUGGAGAAAUGCAAAGGUUGAGCUGUAGUGGAUCCGAACCGAUGCCAGCUACACUCACCAGAUAAACCGUUAGCGACUAAAUAAUAAUUUAUGCAUGCUAUGCGACAAACAAAUGCAACAAUCAAUUGCAACAAAUAAACUGGGGUCUAUACUACCGCUUUCUAGCGUUCGCGCGGUCUAGGGCGUCCUACAGCCAGACCUGCUUUGAUACCAAGCAUUGCGGCACCCCGGCUCAGAGAAAACCUGAACGGCCCAUAUUCCAGCCCAGAGAUCAAGGAGAAGUCUUCUGGAAUACGGCACUGCUUAGCAUAGAACAAACCAGCCUUCUAUUAUUACACGAAAAUGAAUACAAGGUCUCCGAUAUUACAAUGAAUAACAUCGGUACGGCGACACUACGCUAUCCUCAAUUGCUCUAUGCAAGCAGCAGAACAACUCGAAGCAGCGGAAUAACUAUAGCAACGGAACAACAGCGACGGUGGUGAACUCCACUCCGCAGGGACUCUGGCUGGAACGCUGAUCCUAGCUCGCACGAACGGAAACCACGACAAGCAAGCAAUCAAAUCCGGCAUGGCCUACAAACUGGCAUGACACGCCAGGUCAGUACAUUGAAUGUACUUGCAAGCUCACAAUAAACCAGAAGCAUUCAAGACAAACAAUAGCAUGGCAAUUACAGGUUAAACAGUAAUUAACAUGAUAUCAUCAGAAUAACAUGGCAUGACCAUCAGAAACAUGAUACAUCUAUCACAACAUGAACAUAUUAAUUCGACAAUACUAGCAUGUAACAUGAAACCACUAUAUGCACCACUUAUCUUGCUCGGGCUACCUCGUAAUCAACUCAUGCAUCAGUUACCAACCUCGGACAUCACACGAUCAUCUCAGGAUCAAAUCAAGCUUGGUAUAAACAAUACCGUAGCGAUCAGUAAAUGAACACAAGGAGCUUGAUCUUUACCCACGACUCUCGUACAACAUCACGAAUAUACAACAACUCGGUAUCCUCAAUACCACUGUGAUCCUUACGGCGAUCACCACCCGACCAACACUUGGUCCGUGAUCCUUACGACGAUCACAACCCGACCACUACAUGGCCCGUGAUCCUUACGGCGAUCACAACCCAACCAACACUUGGCCAACUUAUCUCACUGUUAUUAAGCACAUUAUUACUAUUUCUGUUGACUCAUGGUGUGACCUUCUCUCGACCUGGGCCCUUAUCCGCGGGCGCGGCUAUCAAUAGAUUAAUAUACACUCUGCAGAGGUUAGUACACUGUACCCACACUACGGAACCCAUGGCCUCGCCCUCCCAUUCGGGUGGACCAAUGGCGUUCCGACAAAACCGAUCUAUUGUCAUGACACUCUCCCGGCCCUUCCAACUCAGACCCCACCGGGCUAGUCCUGGGUGGCCCCGUGUCUACCUCCAGACACCUCGACCACCGUCGUGGCCACAAUCCACACUGGGAUCCGGUACCAAAAUUAACUUAACAACGGGCUCACAAGGUUAUGCUCUACCUACCUGAUCAGGGUAGCACGCGCCCAUAACAUUCCCUAAAUUGAGGUACCGACCAGAGGCACAACAAUAGACCCAGUUAGGACCAUCCCAUACCAGUAAGCGUGGUUGCACUGGUCAGCAUCGAUUCAGCGGCACCAUGACUCAGCCAAUAGGUGUUCGAGUUCAAUUUAAUCCGGUUAACUUGAAUGCAAAUAUGUUGAGCCAUGAUAAAAUACAUGAACAUGAUAACAACAUCACCAUGAGAGUAUCACAUAACUUUCCACCAUAUCAACAAUAAAUCAUAUCCAGUGAGCAUCGCAUACUGACUAGCAUGACCAUCCCCAACAUCAACAUGUACUACUAACCAGCAUACUCAUAUGAGAGGUAAUACUAGCAGGUAUAACAUGAUCACAUAGUAUAAGACAACAUAGCACAAAAGUGAACAUGCAAAUCUGAACAUCAUUGGAACAACGAUAACCAUCUUUUCAAUGAGAAAACAUUUAAUAAAUAUUCAAGUUGAAAACCAUGGCUAAUGCAUGACUAUCAUGCAAGUGUGUAUUGCCUGGGGAUGAAGAAAACACCGAGGAGAAGUGCGGUGAAGCCGCGGAAAGAUUUGCCGGAAACGUUCUUUCUCGGAGGGGGCUGAUUAAGGGCAGGGGAAAAAUGGUCAUUUUCACAGUGUCAAACCAUAGUGAAAGCAUGACCAACAGAACGGGCUCGACGAAACGAAGAAGUGGGCAUUGGUUUCACCUCAUUUGGAGCUACGGAUUAAAAGAUAUAAGGGUUUGAAGUUCAGGGACAUUUCUGCAAAAAUAAC